RNAcentral lists this long non-coding RNA (403 nucleotides) under Felis catus (domestic cat). RNAcentral's name for it is "lncRNA (ENSFCAG00000052789.1)". The record is from RNAcentral. Lineage: Eukaryota; Metazoa; Chordata; Mammalia; Carnivora; Felidae.
CUUUGCAGAAGCCUGUAGGGUGUUCACCAACAAACUGUUUUUCCCUGUCAAAUCCCAGCAAAAGGACUAUGUUGUGUGUGCAAAUGGGAAGGAGAGAGAGUGAAAAAAGGUGUCCUGGGGAUUGGUUCCCAUCGGAGCUACAAACUGGAACUCUAAGGCCAGUCAGCCUGGGGCUGACACUGAGUCCCCGAGCUGUGAUUUCAAGUAGGAGGAGCAGGCAACCCCCACUGGGAGCGUCAGAAAUUGCCAGACCGUGCGGACACGUGAUCUGUGGACGGGGCGACAAAGAGGGUGGACGAAGGGGAGUGUAUUCGUCCCACCUACUUUUGCAGUGGAUUUACCAGGUGCGGAAAGUGGUGCCAGCCCUGGGAGCAGAGACUGGCUACAAAGUUUCUUCCGAGCC